CAGGUUGUAGUUUAAAUAAUAACGAUAAGUUGCAAACUUAUAGAAAAGAUUCUCAACGUCUUCUAUCUGG
This 70-nucleotide transfer RNA is filed under the name Phyllidiopsis krempfi. Its description in RNAcentral is "tRNA-Cys". Lineage: Eukaryota; Metazoa; Mollusca; Gastropoda; Nudibranchia; Phyllidiidae. The record is from RNAcentral.